GAGGAUAUAGCUUAAGUGGUAGAGCACAUGCUUAGCAUGCAUGAGGUCCUGGGUUCAAUCCCCAGUACCUCCA
This 73-nucleotide transfer RNA is filed under the name Camelus bactrianus (Bactrian camel). It matches the Rfam family "tRNA". From Rfam's summary of the family: Transfer RNA (tRNA) molecules are approximately 80 nucleotides in length. Their secondary structure includes four short double-helical elements and three loops (D, anti-codon, and T loops). RNAcentral also lists the same sequence under 2 other names. The record is from Rfam by way of RNAcentral. Lineage: Eukaryota; Metazoa; Chordata; Mammalia; Artiodactyla; Camelidae.